Molecule: non-coding RNA, 121 nt
Organism: Picea glauca (white spruce)
Lineage: Eukaryota; Viridiplantae; Streptophyta; Pinopsida; Pinales; Pinaceae
Source: Rfam
ACAUGCCUACAACAUAGUACUAAUGCAUCGGAUCCCAUUAGAACUCCGCAAUUAAGCAUGCUCAGGCUAGAGUAGCAUUGGGAUGGGUGACAACCUGAGAAGUCCUAGUGUUUUACAUGCC